RNAcentral lists this ribosomal RNA (270 nucleotides) under uncultured archaeon. RNAcentral's name for it is "partial 16S ribosomal RNA". It matches the Rfam family "Archaeal small subunit ribosomal RNA", at positions 477 to 747 of the family's 1478-position model. The record is from RNAcentral.
CAGCACCUCAAGUGGUCAGGAUGAUUAUUGGGCCUAAAGCAUCCGUAGCCGGCGCUGUAUGUUUUCGGUUAAAUCCAUACGCUCAACGUAUGGGCUGCCGGGAAUACUGCAAAGCUAGGGAGUGGGAGAGGUAGACGGUACUCGGUAGGAAGGGGUAAAAUCCUUUGAUCUAUUGAUGACCACCUGUGGCGAAGGCGGUCUACCAGAACACGUCCGACGGUGAGGGAUGAAAGCUGGGGGAGCAAACCGGAUUAGAGACCCGCGUAGUCC